Oncorhynchus gorbuscha (pink salmon) is the source of this 263-nucleotide long non-coding RNA. RefSeq lists it as uncharacterized. NCBI's taxonomy places the organism in Eukaryota, Metazoa, Chordata, Actinopteri, Salmoniformes, Salmonidae. The record is from RefSeq and is a predicted model, not a curated record. The transcript has 3 exons.
ACAGGUGCUCAGCAUAUGUGGGAACUUCUUCAAGACAGUCGUAAAAGCAUUCCAGGUUCCCCAUCCCAUCCAUCCAUUUGUCUACCAGCUAGCAGAGUCAGCAGACUACUGGUAUCCCUGUACUGGUGUCGCUCAUUUGGCCCAUUAUCCCCUGAGUAUGCGGUUCUGUACCUUUCUGACUCUGCCCUGGAUUACUGACCUCUGCCUGCCCUUGACCUGUCGUUUGCCUGCCCCGUUUUGUCAAUAAACAUCUGUGAUUUGAA